This 239-nucleotide ribosomal RNA is filed under the name uncultured Burkholderia sp. RNAcentral describes it as "partial 16S ribosomal RNA". It matches the Rfam family "Bacterial small subunit ribosomal RNA", at positions 755 to 990 of the family's 1533-position model. The record is from RNAcentral. Lineage: Bacteria; Pseudomonadati; Pseudomonadota; Betaproteobacteria; Burkholderiales; Burkholderiaceae.
CAAGGGUUGGGACAUAAUAGAUACUUUUUAGAUACCGGGGUAGUCCACGCCAUAAACGAUGUAAAUUAGUGGCGGGGGAUUCAUUUCCUGAGUAAGGUAGAUAACGCGUGAAGUUGACGGCCGGGGGAGUACGGUCGCAAGAUUAAAACUCAAAGGAAUUGACGGGGACCCGCACAAGCGGUGGAUGAUGUGGAUUAAUUCGAUACAACGCGAAAAACCUUACCUACCCUUCACAUGGU